UAGGGAAUCUUCGCAAUGGACGAAAGUCUGACCGAGCAACGCCGCGUGAGUGAAGAAGGUUUUCGGAUCGUAAAACUCUGUUGUUAGAGAAGAACAAGGGUGAGAGUAACUGUUCACCCCUUGACGGUAUCUAACCAGAAAGCCACGGCUAACUACGUGCCAG
This 163-nucleotide ribosomal RNA is filed under the name uncultured bacterium. RNAcentral describes it as "partial 16S rRNA". It matches the Rfam family "Bacterial small subunit ribosomal RNA", at positions 355 to 511 of the family's 1533-position model. The record is from RNAcentral.